GACGAACGCUGGCGGCGUGCUUAACACAUGCAAGUCGAACGGAAAGGCCCCCAUCUUGGUGGGGGUGCUCGAGUGGCGAACGGGUGAGUAACACGUGGGUGAUCUGCCCUGUACUUCGGGAUAAGCUUGGGAAACUGGGUCUAAUACCGGAUAGGACCAUGGUUUAGUGUCUCAUGGUGGAAAGAUUAUUGUUUUGGUGCAGGAUGAGCUCGCGGCCUAUCAGCUUGUUGGUGGGGUAAUGGCCUACCAAGGCGUCGACGGGUAGCCGGCCUGGGAGGGUGGACGGCCCCAUUGGGACUGAGAUACGGCACAGACUCCUACGGGACGGAGCAGUGGGGAAUAUUGCACGAUGGGAGCAAGCCUGAUGCCGCGACGCCGCGUGGGGGAUGACUGCCUUCGGGUUGUAAACUCCUUUCGUUAGGGACGAAGCCGCACUUUUUUUGGGUGUGGUGACGGUACCUUUGUUAAGAAGCACCGGCUAACUACGUG
Molecule: ribosomal RNA, 489 nt
Filed under: uncultured bacterium
Lineage: Bacteria
Description: partial 16S ribosomal RNA
Rfam family: Bacterial small subunit ribosomal RNA
Source: RNAcentral